Molecule: ribosomal RNA, 277 nt
Filed under: uncultured Burkholderiales bacterium
Lineage: Bacteria; Pseudomonadati; Pseudomonadota; Betaproteobacteria; Burkholderiales
Description: partial 16S ribosomal RNA
Rfam family: Bacterial small subunit ribosomal RNA
Source: RNAcentral
CGUAGGGUGCGAGCGUUAAUCGGAAUUACUGGGCGUAAAGCGUGCGCAGGCGGUUAUAUAAGACAGUUGCGAAAUCCCCGGGCUUAACCUGGGAAUGGCGCUUGUGACUGCACGACUGGAGUGCGGCAGAGGGGGAUGGAAUUCCGCGUGUAGCAGUGAAAUGCGUAGAUAUGCGGAGGAACACCGAUGGCGAAGGCAGUCCCCUGGGCCUGCACUGACGCUCAUGCACGAAAGCGUGGGGAGCAAACAGGAUUAGAUACCCUGGUAGUCAAGGGCG